UCCAGAUCUGUCACUUAUCCUUCACCUGCUGUACUGUAGGGCUGGCUCUAAAAGUGUUGCGCAUCAUUAAAGGAACGUAGCAGCCAAUUGAAUCAACUUAUACACCACACGAAUCCGUCUUCCUUUCAUAGAGCGGCAUAUUUUAACCGAACGACUGGUCUCGUUUGUCUUCGUUUAUGCGUUUACACUCAUGAAGAGUAAAUUUGUCCUGGAAACGCUCAUUCAAACCAUUUACAGACGGUUCGAUCCAGCUUGAUAAAUGAGGCCUGGUUUUAGACCAGAAUACGCUGAUGAUGAAUUUGGAGAAGGAUGUUUGUUUGUUUUUUCUGAAGAUGUAUUGAUGCCAUGAAUAGAAAGUAUGCGCAAAAAUGAAUUGUGUUUCAGACGUGUCACUGAGGAUGAACGUUAAAGCCCUAAGAAAAAUGAAAGCAUGCUGUGGAAAAUGACCAAACAUGCCAUUAAAAUAGUUUCAAUAAUGUUUUGUAUUUUGUCUUAUGAAAGGGAAGAAAACUUGCAUUAAAUGAAAAGUCAAAAACGACGCCACAGUUUAUAUCCACGUCCUUCGUACAGCAGGUACAGCAGGCCCACUGAGGCUCCUGAGUGACACCACUGACCUCUAGUGGCCAAGUCGGGACUAACUCUGUGUUGUAGCCGCAAUUUAAACAGGACAGAAUUUCCAUUAAAGGUGCACUGGGUACAAGAUUAGUUUUGUUUUUGCUCUUUUUCCUCAUGAUUAUAUCUGUAAUUAUUAAGUAGGUGGGUUUGACAUGUGAAUGUUUUUGUUUUUUCCCCCCGCACACUGCUUGAGAUGAGUGUGUUUGAUUAAGUAUUGCCGAGGACGUGUCCAUGGUUACCGCAUGGCCUUUGAGAGAUGCUUUUGCGGCAUACAACACAAACGGUGAUGAAAGUCUUCAGAAACAGGGUGUAAUUACCGCAGAACCGCGUGUGACUGUGGGUUCUAAUGCUAGACUGCCACUGUAACGUGAUCUCGGGGAAAUAACUUUAGUUAUCGCGAGAUCUAAAAAAACAAACAAACAAAAAAAAGCGAGUUCUGCUCGUUUCUAUAGUAACAAAGGGAACCGGUUAAAAACAGAAAGAGGAGUCUCAAGUGCAGGUUUUUCUACAAGGAAAAACAAACGCACAGUGUGAUCAAAUCAAUUAUUAUUAUUAUUAUUAUUAUUAUUAUUAUUAUUACUGUUGUUGUUGUCAUUGAUGUUAUCAUUAUCAUUAUUAUUGUUGAUAUUAUUGUUGUUGACAUUGUUGUUAUUACUAUUAUUAUUAUUAUUAUUAUUAUUAUUAUUAUUAUUAUUAUUAUUUUGUUGAUAUUAUUGAUGAAAUUGUUGCUGAAAAAAGAUGGCCAUUAUGAUUAAUAUUGUUAUUAUUAUUAUUAUUAUUAUUAUUAUUAUUAUUAUU
Ictalurus punctatus (channel catfish) is the source of this 1413-nucleotide long non-coding RNA. The record is from Ensembl. Lineage: Eukaryota; Metazoa; Chordata; Actinopteri; Siluriformes; Ictaluridae.